This 447-nucleotide ribosomal RNA is filed under the name uncultured bacterium. RNAcentral describes it as "bacterial SSU rRNA". It matches the Rfam family "Bacterial small subunit ribosomal RNA", at positions 355 to 825 of the family's 1533-position model. The record is from RNAcentral.
UGGGGAAUCUUGGACAAUGGGCGCAAGCCUGAUCCAGCCAUGCCGCGUGAGUGAAGAAGGCCUUCGGGUUGUAAAGCUCUUUUACCAGGGACGAUAAUGACGGUACCUGGAGAAUAAGCCCCGGCUAACUACGUGCCAGCAGCCGCGGUAAUACGUAGGGUGCGAGCGUUAAUCGGAUUUACUGGGCGUAAAGCAUGCGCAGGCGGCGGUUCAAGUCAGGUGUGAAAUCCCCGAGCUUAACUUGGGAAUUGCGCUUGAAACUAGAUCGCUAGAGUACGGCAGAGGGGGGUAGAAUUCCACGUGUAGCAGUGAAAUGCGUAGAGAUGUGGAGGAACACCGAUGGCGAAGGCAGCCCCCUGGGCCUGUACUGACGCUCAUGCAUGAAAGCGUGGGGAGCAAACAGGAUUAGAUACCCUCGUAGUCCCUGAGCGGGCUGGCAAGGCGCAU